RNAcentral lists this ribosomal RNA (323 nucleotides) under uncultured eukaryote. Its description in RNAcentral is "partial 18S ribosomal RNA". It matches the Rfam family "Eukaryotic small subunit ribosomal RNA", at positions 1470 to 1796 of the family's 1831-position model. The record is from RNAcentral.
CCCUUAGAUGUUCUGGGCUGCACGAGUGCUACACUGAUAUUGCCAAUAUGUCAUUCUUAUCCGAAAUGGAUUGGGUAAUCAAGUAAUGAAAUUUCAUGCUUGGAAUCGGUAAUUGCAAUUUUAUCGUGAACGAGGAAUUCCUAGUAAGCACUAGUCAUCAGCUAAUGUUGAUUAUGUCCCUGCCCUUUGUACACACCGCCCGUCGCUACUACUGAUUGGGUGUUCAAGUGAGAUGCUUAGACCCUUGUUGCAUGGUUCAUUAUUGUGCUCCGAAAGGAAAAAGUUUCAAGCUUGAGUGUCUAGAGGAAGUAAAAGUCGUAACA